GAUGAACGCUGGCGGCGUGCCUAAUACAUGCAAGUCGAGCGAACGGACGAGAAGCUUGCUUUUCUGAUGUUAGCGGCGGACGGGUGAGUAACACGUGGAUAACCUACCUAUAAGACUGGGAUAACUUCGGGAAACCGGAGCUAAUACCGGAUAAUAUUUUGAACCGCAUGGUUCAAAAGUGAAAGACGGUCUUGCUGUCACUUAUAGAUGGAUCCGCGCUGCAUUAGCUAGUUGGUAAGGUAACGGCUUACCAAGGCAACGAUGCAUAGCCGACCUGAGAGGGUGAUCGGCCACACAGGAACUGAGACACGGUCCAGACUCCUACGGGAGGCAGCAGUAGGGAAUCUUCCGCAAUGGGCGAAAGCCUGACGGAGCAACGCCGCGUGAGUGAUGAAGGUCUUCGGAUCGUAAAACUCUGUUAUUAGGGAAGAACAUAUGUGUAAGUAACUGUGCACAUCUUAAAGGUACCUAAUCAGAAAGCCACGGCUAACUACAUG
This 497-nucleotide ribosomal RNA is filed under the name uncultured bacterium. Its description in RNAcentral is "partial 16S ribosomal RNA". It matches the Rfam family "Bacterial small subunit ribosomal RNA", at positions 28 to 507 of the family's 1533-position model. The record is from RNAcentral.